Molecule: small nucleolar RNA, 74 nt
Organism: Papio anubis (olive baboon)
Lineage: Eukaryota; Metazoa; Chordata; Mammalia; Primates; Cercopithecidae
Gene: SNORD114-13
Product: small nucleolar RNA, C/D box 114-13
Source: Ensembl
UGGACCAAUGAUGACCACUGGUGGCGUAUGAGUUAUGCACAUGAAUACCAUGUUUCUAGAAUUCUGAGGUCCAA